This is a long non-coding RNA of Glycine soja, 3729 nucleotides long. RefSeq lists it as uncharacterized. Lineage: Eukaryota; Viridiplantae; Streptophyta; Magnoliopsida; Fabales; Fabaceae. The record is from RefSeq and is a predicted model, not a curated record. The transcript has 2 exons.
UCCACAACGCCCGAGUCCUCAUCAAGCAAGAGAGCAUCUAUUAACCCCAACCAAAAAACAUCGAAUUCCAGCACAUAUGCCCCAUGUAUGAAUUAUGAUCUUCUAAAGUUCUUGCAAGCAUGCUUCAGAAUUCUGAAUGCUUUUGUUUUCUGGGCAUUUUAACAAUUAUGUUGAUUAAUGGCAUCAUCGAAUUCCAACAAAUAUGCUCAGGCAAUCAAAGCUUCAUCCUUUACAAUCCCAUUCAGAAAUCUUUUGUUCGGAGUGCAAUACUUGAUAGUAUCUACUCAAAUUAUUUAUCACAUCACCCUCUACGCGAACGUGUUAUGUAAAGCAUAAGCUCUGAAAUUAUGAACCACUUAUUCGUGCAUCUUAAGGUAGCUACUUUCUUCUGGAACAAUCAUUUUUUUUUAUGAGAAAGUACUUUAGAGCUGAUAAGGGUUUUGGUCCAAACAAAGGCAAAAAAAUUUAGGUAGUGUGUAAUUUAUGCAGUUCUUUGAAGCAGAAGGCACUUGUUUUCUCAGGUUUUCCUAGCCACUAAAAAUGCUCAGGAUAAUAUCAAGUUUCGGCCACUGAUGCUUUGCACAUGUUACAAUGGCGUGCCCAUCUCUGAAACGAACAUAGAUUCAGCAGCACUGCUGAAAUAUUUGCUCAUUUCUAGUUGUUCCCAUUUAUCCACAUAGAUUGGAUAUCUUAUCCUCACUAUCUUAAAUACUGUUUUCCAAUCCAAUAAAAAAGGACACCAAAGUCAUUGGUAAACAAAAUUAGAUUUUCAUUAUACUUGCAUUGCAAGGUCUCUUCUAACAUAUAAUAAUAAAGAUAAGUCAAAUAAUGUUCUCUACAAUACAUAAAUUUUUUGUUGUUGAGUGAUUUAGGAUCAGAGGACGCUUUCAAUUUUUUUUGUUGAAUGAUUUAGGAUCAAAGAAAACAAACACAGGACAAUGCAUCGUAAUGCAACAUGAAACUUUUAUCAGCUUACGAGGUACUGGUAAUUAACAGAAGAAAGUAGAUGCUACUUGGCUGAAAUUAGAUCCUAGCAGUAGCACCACAUCAUAUCACAAACUGAAUCAUAAAAAGACUGUCACUAGCCAUAAUGUUAACUUUUUUUUGUGUAGCUGGAGGAGAUCUUGGUUACAACCAUAUGUCUAUACUUAUUAAAAAAAUCAAAUAUACAGAUAAAGAUAAAAAUAUGAUAGUUUGAGAUGGUUACCAGAGACUUUUUGGCUAAUUGCAUGAGAAGUGUGUGAAAUGCACAUCCAAAGGAGAGAAAAGAGAGAAUAUGGAGAAUGUCCAUUUAUUUUAUAGGAAUUGAACACGGUACUGGGGAGUUUACAACAAGCACACACCCUGCUCAACCAACUGAACUAGAACCCCUUGGUAUGUCUAAUCUAUAAUCUAUGAGUAGAUUAAACAAUUACAACAAUGAACGAUUUAAAUCCAAUGAAGUGUCUACAACUCCUCAUUCACCCUUACAGCUUAUGAAGUUACAUUAUACCUGCUAUUAAGAAUUGUGACCAUACACGUUUCGAAGAAGAAAGGGGUCUGAAUACAGACAAAAACCAAACAAGACACAUGCACAGGGCACCCAUAUUUUUUAAUUAUUUUUAGUUUCAUCAGUUCAGGAAGGUGGUAAAUAUUUGAAGAACUCCGUUGGCUAUAUCUACUAAUAGUUGUUUUUUUUCUCUUCUGAGUUCAGACAAGGCAAAAUUCCAAACUUAGUGCUAUUCUUAAACCCAGAUGCAUUAAUUUCAUUCCACAAUCCAAAUUACAAAAGUGAAAAUUGAAAUAGACAAUUACCUUCCACCGUAAAGAAGAAAACCAAGGGCUGCAAACAAAGAAACCCCUACAUACAUGCAUGGAAAAAAUUAUUAACGUCAUGAUCAAUAAAAUCUGAUAGUUAAACCCUCAUAACAAGAAGAAAAAGGACUCUUGAAUAUAUAAACCUGCAAAGAACAUCUUAGACAGGAUGACUAGCACGCUGAUAGGUUUCCACCAUAAUAUUAACCAUAAAGUAAUCUGAAAAACAUAAAAUGAUUUACUGUUAGAGUGGCAUGACAAAGAGUGAAGUAAAUAAAAGAGGAAUCUACAAAUUCAAAACCAGUCAACAUAAUAAAGUAGCAGCUAUUUAAUACUCCGAAUAGAUCUUAUAGUAAUAGAAGAAAAGCACUGAUGCCACAGAAAAGUUGAAAAAUAAUAAAGGUAAAUUGACUCAAUAGUAAAACAUCAAUUUUAGGACAAAAAUGAAAUGAAAGGCAAACAUAUUAAAAAAAUUCUUAAUCAAUCCUGUUGGAAAACAUUUUAUAUUAUCUUAGAACAUUUUUCUUAUUAGGUUAUUAGCCAUAUUGGUAGACUUGGGCUAGCACAAGUAGUACCAGUACAUGACUUAAUUAUUAGUAUAAACAAAAGAAUUAGGCUAAGGUAUUGGAACAUAUUAUAUCUGUCAAUUAUAUUUUCAUUUGAUUACUUUUAAUCUGUCUUUGUCAUUUCCUUCUUCUCUAACCCUGAAACUAUGACUAUAUAAAUUGAUAUCAGAGCAGUAAUUUCUUUGUAUUUUGAACCCCACCCCUGAAAAAUAAAAUUCAACAGAUAAUGAUGUAGAACACAUUUCAAGGCUAGGAGUGGAGGGAUGGUGAAAGUAUGGAUGCCCAAUGGUUAAGAGCUGCAUUGGGGGGGGGGGGGGGGGGAGUCUGUAGGGAUUAUGGGCACAUGCUUCUGGAAAUGUGGUGGCUGGUGACUCAGUUCCAACACAGGCAACAACAAUCAACGGCUCACCCUCAUUUACUCCAGAAACAAAUUUUUUAUAAGCCUUAUCCUACUAGGUGAAACCAGUUACAUGGAUCACACAACUCCUCCAUUAGGCUAGGUUAGAGCAGAAGCAAUGAUUCCUUCAUCCCUGACAAAGUGACAAUUAAAAACUGCAAGGAUUUUUUAUAACCCCCAGCACAACACCCCAUUUAUGUUUAAUAACUGGUCACAAAAUAGAUCUGAUAAUGAGUGUGAUAGGUUUCUGCUGGGGAAAAACCUGCAGACAGAUGGAUAGGUUCAACUUGCAUCAGAUCUGACAAAGAAAGAACUAUGGAUCUUGGGGCUUCUAUAAGUAAUGGGCACAGCUAGAAGUAUUAUGUGAAGGACUAUUUCUACAAAGCAUUGGGUGGGGACGGCCAACCCAUCUUAUACAGCUCUAGCUGUACCCUAAUAGCUUCUUUAUCAUAUUGAUUGGCACACUGUCAAUUGUAGUUUCUACAUAACCUGAGAAAUGCAAAAUGAAAAUGGAAAAAGACUGAUUGCAACAUUCAUGGCCUCAAAAAGAAGUUCAACCACUGCGCUGAGUGGUAACAGUAACAUGUGCAAUCAUGGGCAAGAUUUUUUCACCUGAAUAACAUAAACCACAGCAUUAAUCGUAUAGAAACUUGGUCUGAGACCAUCAGUAGAUACGGCACGUGCCUGCAAAACAAUGUAGCAUCAAAGUCAUAAACUCAUAAUCAGGCCACCAAAAUAGCAAUAUCCCAUACUCAUUAAAAAGAAAAAUAGUAAAUGUACAUAUACCACAGAAUGAACUUGCCUGGUAAUAAAUCUCAGCCCAGAACAGUACCAACAGCGCAUAAGUUGUAAAGAAAGCAAGACUAGGCAUGUCAAGUAAGAUAUGUUGGACAAUCUGCACACACGAAGCUGAGCAUUAGCUAUGAGAUUAAAAAACUUAAUUUAUAAAGGAAUUGAAAAAAAAAAAAAAAA